CUGCGUUGUUCUGCUUUGCUUUAAUCGCUGCAUUGUCAUCUUCUUUGCUGCUGGCAGCGAUCGACCGACCGACCGCUUACUUCUGCUCGCCUCGCCUCUUUUCUACUUGCAAUUGCAAACAUAGAGCUUGUUGUUCUCCUUCUGGUUAUGGCAGUCGUAGUUGCUGCUGCUGCUGCUGCUGUUGUUCUUGUUGCUGUUAUUGUUUGUGGGAACGAGCACACAGCACAGCACAAAGCUAUUUUCAAAUUGGAAAGGUUUUGCACUUCGCCAACGCAGUCAGCUCUCGGUAACUCUUUUUGUUCGCUUUGUUUGUGGCUUCGCUGCCGUCGUCGUCGCCAUCGCCGUUGCUUCUGCUGCUGUUACAGCCAACUUCUUUCUCGUUAGUUUGUUAUUUUAACUAUUAUAUCAAUUAGUUUCAACGUUUGACGGCUCCGCCAGCCUCAGCUCAUUGUGGCCGCGGCUGCUGCUAGAUUGCGGAUGGAAGGAGGAAAUGGAAAUGGGAAAACCAGACGAAGGUAGAGCAGCGGAAAAUACGAAGUUCGAGGUUGAAUUUUGCGCCGUUGCAAUUCACUGCGCUUGGCUUUCACGCUGGGGUUGAAACUCUCAAAGUGUGCGUGUCUAUGUGUCUAUUACUGUGUGUGUGUGUG
Molecule: long non-coding RNA, 647 nt
Organism: Drosophila navojoa
Lineage: Eukaryota; Metazoa; Arthropoda; Insecta; Diptera; Drosophilidae
Source: RefSeq, a predicted model, not a curated record